This is a non-coding RNA of Coffea arabica (coffee), 2115 nucleotides long. Lineage: Eukaryota; Viridiplantae; Streptophyta; Magnoliopsida; Gentianales; Rubiaceae. The record is from RefSeq and is a predicted model, not a curated record.
GCAGCUGCGGUAGAGUGAGCGCAAUGGAGAGAGAUGCUAGACUAGAGAGUAGAGACCUCUCGCAACUUCCCUGGCAAUGUGGUUUUCCAAUCCAGUCUAGAGGCUCUCUCUCCCCAUCAUCCCAAUCAUAAGAUGAUUCGCCGGACUUCUUAUCGGCAUCAGUUCGUAUACCAAAACCUUCUCCUGUCCUUCCCCACAAAUACAUUACUAUUUCCUCCCCUCAGCUUUACUAGAUUGGGAUGCCCCAAGCAUGCAUUUGGACGUCUUUGUUUCCUCCCGGUGAAACAGGACUUUAAUUGCUACAAUCUCAUGAGCCUGCAUCUUCAUCAAUUCCAGGGCAUAUACAAAUAAAAGUUUUCAAGUACUAGCUAGCGGUAUGGUCACGCAGCUAAUGAAAUGUAAGAAAAGUCCUGAAGAAUUUGCUAAUGAACCAGAUGCAGAAGCGGCCCUCUAUAAUGGUUUUAACUUGAUUGUUGAUCAUCUUUGAUCAAUGUCCAUGCUCUACAUCACCAACUGCCAAAAGACAGCGGCAUUAUUGCUACACAGUUUCUCCUGCUAUUCAUGUCUUGUCUAAUGCAAAACUCUGACAGGCCAGCCCAUGCCCUAAGUUUGAUCAGGAACGGACGAAGCUUUGAACAGUUGUGGACAUUUCAGGCAAAAAGGCAGUUGAAUUAGGAGAUUUCCUUGGGGCAUGUUUGUGUUCUAAAUUUUAGUCUCUUCGUUGAAGUUAUUUUCAAUUUUCACGCAUAUUGUCAUUUUUAUAGUCCCGCAAUCAAAGCAACAUUCUACUUUGCAUGUUUAUUAGACCAUAAGUUUAUAUCACUGCAGGCUGAAAGAUUGGAGCAAAGUUUCAAGGAUCCAAUGGAUAAUAUGGCGAAGGAGAGGUUCCCUUAAAAGAGACGUCUAAAAAGUUAAUGCAUGGCACCACUAAAUGUUUUCUGGACUGGGACUAUCAUUUGAGUUCCAUAUUUGUUGAUGCUGAUUUGCCUAUGUUAAUCUCGCUCUCUCUCUCUCAUGCCCUCGGGCUCACAAGUUGUGUACGUGCAUGCUAGUGUUCAUGUGAAUGACCAUUGAAACAUGUCUUUUUGCGUAUGCUGAAGAAUAUCUCAAUGCGCUCAAAGAUUCUUUAAUUUAUGUUUAAUGCACAGGGACGUUAUGGUACUAGAAGUACGUCUGCAUUGACUAUGAAUACAAGUGGGAACAUGCCAUUUUUUGAAAAGUAUCUUGAUGCAGACUUGUUGAAGACGCAGACCAUCAGCUUCCAGAUUAGGCAAGAAAAGAUGACAUUGUGUCCUCUAUCAAGAAUGUUAAAACUAAACAAACCUGUAACACAUAUAGGUAAAUCUACUUUACAAUACUUGUAUCUACAGCAAAAUAGUUGUGUUCAUCCUGUUUUUUGUUGUUCCUUUUUCAUUAUUCCGUCCAUAUUCUGAACAUGUGAAUAAACCUCUCAGUUAAUAUGCCCUGUUUGAAGAUUGUUUGGGGAUGAACUAACUUGAAGCAUAUGAAGUCUCUCAGAUUUCAGAACUUUGUCACCCUAUGGCACCAACAUGCUCUUUUUUCCUAGUUUAGCUAGUUGAUUUUAAAGAGGCUUCUAGGCUGGCUUACAUAAUUCAAAAAUGUUAAAACCAGUCAGUUGCGGCUCCAAGAGUUUCAGAAGAACUAGUAACAUCCAUAGCUGGUGCCCCACUGGCUGCAAAUUUUCAAGAAGCAAGCUGGCUGAGAUGCAUAACUUAACUCUAGCGUAACUUGUGUUCUAAUGCUCUAUUUGCUGUAUUUUCUUUUCUUGAGUGCCCAUUCCAUGAACAGAAGGACCUCUGUUCCUAAAAGAAAGAAGCAUGUGAACAGAGAAAAACUUUCACUACUUCCUCUCAGUAUAGCAAGUAAAAGAUUAAUUCAAUUGCAAUGGAAAACAGUACAGAUGAACAAAACAUGGAGGAGGAACUCCUGCUGCUAUUGGUUGUUUUGAUUCCUGAAAUUAGUUAAUGGUUGGAUGUUUCUCAAGGCUAGUAUCCUGAAAAAGGAGGCACCUUUUUCAAAGGUAAUUUGCACUUAUUUUUUUUUUCUCUCUCUUGUGUUCCUUGACAUUCAAUUUAAUAUGGGUCUCAGUAGUAA